GAUGAACGCUGGCGGCGUGCCUAAUACAUGCAAGUCGAGCGAACAGACGAGGAGCUUGCUCCUCUGACGUUAGCGGCGGACGGGUGAGUAACACGUGGAUAACCUACCUAUAAGACUGGGAUAACUUCGGGAAACCGGAGCUAAUACCGGAUAAUAUAUUGAACCGCAUGGUUCAAUAGUGAAAGACGGUUUUGCUGUCACUUAUAGAUGGAUCCGCGCCGCAUUAGCUAGUUGGUAAGGUAACGGCUUACCAAGGCAACGAUGCGUAGCCGACCUGUGAGGGUGAUGGGCCACACUGGAACUGAGACACGGUCCAGAGUCCUAGGGGAGGCAGCAGGAGGGAAUCGGGAGCAAGGGGCGGAAACCGGACGGAGCAACGCGGAGGGAGGAAGGAAGAACUUCGGAUCGUAGAACUAUGUUAUUAGGGAAGAAAAAAUGUGUAAGUAACUAGGAACGUCUUGACGGGAACUAGUCAGAGAGGCACGGCUAACUACGUG
Molecule: ribosomal RNA, 497 nt
Filed under: uncultured bacterium
Lineage: Bacteria
Description: partial 16S ribosomal RNA
Rfam family: Bacterial small subunit ribosomal RNA
Source: RNAcentral